Molecule: ribosomal RNA, 254 nt
Filed under: uncultured bacterium
Lineage: Bacteria
Description: partial 16S ribosomal RNA
Rfam family: Bacterial small subunit ribosomal RNA
Source: RNAcentral
UACAGGGGGGCGCGAGCGUUGCUCGGAAUCACUGGGCGUAAAGCGUACGCAGGCGGACCGUUAAGUCGGAUGUGAAAUCCCAGGGCUCAACCCUGGAAGUGCAUUCGAUACUGGCGGUCUUGAGUACGGGAGAGGAGAGCGGAAUUCCUGGUGUAGAGGUGAAAUUCGUAGAUAUCAGGAGGAACACCGGUGGCGAAAGCGGCUCUCUGGCCCGAUACUGACGCUCAUGUACGAAAGCGUGGGGAGCAAACAGG